Long non-coding RNA from Vidua macroura (Pin-tailed whydah), 1676 nucleotides. RefSeq lists it as uncharacterized. The record is from RefSeq and is a predicted model, not a curated record. The transcript is spliced from 2 exons. Lineage: Eukaryota; Metazoa; Chordata; Aves; Passeriformes; Viduidae.
GGAGCUGCUGCUCCCCAGCCUGGAGAGGACCUGCCCUGUGCUCCAUCACUCUCGGCCUGUUGCCAGGCAACGCAGCAUCACAUGGCUUUCACUCCCAAACAAACUGCAGACACAGGGCAUUCUUCUCCUGCUCUUCCAGAGAGGGACCUCACCUGUCGCCCUGGCAGCCCUGAGGGGUCUCCAGUGGUCACUGCUGGCCGCUGGCUUUGCUGCAGCUCCUCGCUUUGCCUCCCCAUCUGCCACCUUGGCACCUGGCAAGGUGCACAUUGAGUUUUGUUGGAAGGUUUGUUUGUUGGUUUGUGGGGCUCCCUCUGGGCAAAGCCCCACUUGGAGUGGUGGGAAACCCUGCUGUGAUCCUUGUCUCCCUCAGGGACUUGUUUAACAGCUGUCCCACCCUCAGACUGCCCAGGCCUACCCAGGAAUUACCCAGGAGUUUUGUUUUCACAAGUCCAAAGGCUGAAAUGGCUCCAGAAGUUGAGGCACGGCCCGAGGUUGCUUGCUGUCAGCGGGCUGAUGGACUGUCAGAUCCAUCUCAGGGGCAGGACACAUGUCUCACUGUCUCCCAACCCAUAAUGUACAAAUUGUGUUUCCUGACAGCCAUAUAACACUCCUGAGAGCUAAUUUUGGCACAAUUAUCACCCUUUUCAGGUCAUAAAAGUCACUCAGCACUCAGCCACCUGAUUAGAGCUGUCAGCCAAAGCCUGCUGCAACCACUGCAGGGGUUGAGCAGCAUGGAAAAGCACACAUGGCUUAUCCCACAUGAAAUGCUGAGCCAGAGAGGAGCACACAUCCUGUUCCCAGGGGGAAUGUGUUGCAAAUGCCCUGUCACAGGCAGGAGGAGUGCUAGAGGAAGGAAGCACAUCUCUCCCAAAGCAGGAUGUGCCUUCAGAAAGCACAUUUUGCAUGUGUCCUCCUGCAUUUCCACACUGGCAGCUGGACUUGGCAGUGUCCAGCUUCCAUCACAGAAAAAGUUCCAGUCCUUCCAUCACAGAAAGAGUUCCAGUCCUUCCAUCACAGAAAGAGUUCCAGUCCUUCCAUCACAGAAAGAGUUCCAGUCCUUUCAUCACAGGAAGAGUGUCCAGUCCUUCCAUCACAGAAAGAGUUCCAGUCCUUCCAUCACAGGAAGAGUUCCAGUCCUUCCAUCACAGAAAGAGUGUCCAGUCCUUCCAUCACAGAAAGAGUUCCAGUCCUUCCAUCACAGAAAGAGUUCCAGUCCUUCCAUCACAGGAAGAGUGUCCAGUCCUUCCAUCACAGGAAGAGUUCCAGUCCUUCCAUCACAGGAAGAAGCCUGCUAGCUGCUUUAGGUGGGAAGGAGUAUCCCUGGGAGUGAGAAGUGUGACACCCUCUGAAAUGGGAAGGCCUAAGGGGGACAUGGGCCCAGCCCUCAGAACAGAUUCCAUCACUAACAAUAAUGAGCAGGGAGGUAUGGAUAUUCUCAGCUCAGUCAGAGAGAAAAGCAGAGAUUUCUGCCAGGCUAAGCCUGGGAAAAAGUCCGGGAGGAAUGUAAACAAUUUAUUAUCUCUCUUUCUGUUCAUAUUGUUUAUAGAUACAUUCUGCCACCGUGUGCUAUUCAUAGUGCACCACUGGUGUGAGAUGUGUUUACUCUAGGACCAAUGAAGUUCUCUAUAAAAGAGCAAUGUACUUGUUAAUAAACUUCUUCUUCAUUGCCUUCUGAA